AACAUUGGACGAUUUGUUAAACAAGUGUGUCAUAAAAUAAGAGGCAACUGACUAACCUUCUGUUAUGUGCUUGAUCGUUUUCUUUUCAAAAUCUCGAACCGUAAUUUUUUUGCAUAAAUGUAAUGUCAACUCGAAGCUGUAACAUAAAAUAUUAGAGUAUUUGUUAAAUAAUUAUGUCAUAAAAUAAGUUAAAACAAAAUAAUUUCAUAUAAAGCUUAUUAAUUUUGCCAUUGUUGACCAUUAGCCAAACUUUCCAAGUUUUGAACCUUUAUUUUUUAUUGUUAUCGUUGAAUUUGAGAUAAUAAAUGAAAAAAAAAAUGGAUAGUGAAAUUAUCCCUUAUUUAUUCUCUUAGAAUUAUAUAUUGGAUAUAUAAUAAUUUAACAUUAAAAUUUAUAAUAAUCUCCAUGAGUAAGACCAUCUUUAUCCCAGUUUCUUAACAUGGGUUUUAAAGAAAAUAAGUGAAUUAAUUAAAUCAAAACUAAAUAAAAAGGUGAUAACCGAUCCUUAAUACAUGAUUUUGGCGAUCGAUCAUAACAAGGGUCCUUAAACCACGUGUCAGCAAACUAGAAAAUUUGAUUUCUUUUUCUUUUUUCUUUUCUCUUUCUUUUAUUUCUCUCCUCCUCUCUGUCUUCUCCGACGAUUGCUUGUGUGAAGAGAGCAUCUCCUCUCUUCAAUCUCCCUUCCUUUGCCUUCUGUGCUCAAAGGAGCCUUCAAAAUCGUCGAAGGUCCCGUCAGCUCCACCACCGGAAACCCAGAUCUUGUAUGUAAUUGUAAGUUGUCUCCCAUGUAUGGUUUAAACAAGCCGAAGAAACAGCAAAGAAGCUAGAUUUGGAUGGAUUGGUGGUUAUCGGUGGAGAUGACUCCAACACCAAUGCUUGCCUCCUUGCUGAAAACUUCAGAUGAGAUUGCGAAGUUGUUUCAGACCAAGGUCUAUAUGGUCAGCCCUCUGUCUCAGUUGUUCCAGACCAGAGUGCUGCUUCGUCGGGACAGAAGCUGAAGAUCGGUGUUGUUCUGUCUGAAGGUCAGGCACCUGGUGGGCACAAUGUCAUCUCUCUAGUACGGUCAGUUUGAUGGUGAUGAAGCCACUGCUGGAUUGGUGAUCAAGCCACUGCUGCUCUAGUACGGUCAGUUUCCUCUCUAUCUCUUUUCUUUCCAGUACUCUCUCUCUGUAAUGGAUGAGUUUUAAUUGUUUAAGAAGCUCUGUUUAGGUUGUUCUGUCUCUUGAUUCUGUAAUGGAGAUAAUGUUCUGUUAUGUUUAUGUUGUGUCUUCUUGUUGUUGUUCUGUUAUAUUUAUGUUUAUUCACUAAACCAAAGUCAUCCAUUUUC
Long non-coding RNA from Brassica rapa (field mustard), 1327 nucleotides. RefSeq lists it as uncharacterized. The record is from RefSeq and is a predicted model, not a curated record. NCBI's taxonomy places the organism in Eukaryota, Viridiplantae, Streptophyta, Magnoliopsida, Brassicales, Brassicaceae.